UUUUUGAAACUGUCUUCCUGUCUUUUGUUAAUAAUUUAGUUCUUAAAAGAAAACAACAUGUUCCGCAAUCCAGGAAGUCGGCUACAGGGUGUCUGCUUCCAAAUCCUAUUGCCCUACUCCUGAGCUUUCUACAUUGCUACAGACCCUCUAAAAGUCCUACUGAAGCAUCCUGUUGUAGAGUCAUAGGUCCUGGAAGUCCAGGCGCCCCCAGUAAACCAGAUUCGCCCACCUCCCCCUAACAAGGAGAAGAAAUGAAAAUGAAAAAAAUGACUCAUGCUUAGAGACUGGAGUAAAGAAAAGCAAGGAGCAAACAAAAUUACCAUUCAGUUAAUGUACAAUUAAAAAGCAACAGAUAUUAAGGGGCAUAUUUAUUAUGCUGUGUAAAACAAAAUUCGGCUAAACGACGAAUAUCUCAAGGUAAGGUGUUCCAGAAACUCCAGGCAAUCCUGGAUCUCCUAGAGGUCCUGAUGGCCCUGGUGGUCCAGGUGGACCUGGGAGCCCAGGUGGUCCUUGGAUUCCUGUCUGUCCCUGCUCACCCUGAAGUUAAGAAAAGAGAAAUUACAUAACCAAAAAGGUAAAGUGACAUCAUGCAAAGCAGAAAAAAAGCAAAGUAAAGAGUACCUGGUAGAUCCGUCUUUUAAUGACUGACGGCUGAGCCACCCGCACAGUAUUAAUGAGAGGCAACAGCUGAAGGUGGAUACCAGCCCAGAAAUUCACAGUGCAAAGGUGCAAGGAUACAGUAAAAGGAAGGACAGGAAAUGUGCCAAGCCAGGAGAGUGAGGGAAGCCAGAAGAAAGAGAAGAAAAAGAGUAACAGAAGGUUUUUGACUGCACACACACAAAAAAAGAAAUUUAAAAUGUUUCUGGGAAUAUUUAUUUAAGGGAAGAGAAAACAAUGUACAUAAAUCUGUCUAGCAAGCCUUAAAAUCCAAUUCGCCACUAGAUAGCUUUAGAGAAUUUUCUUUUCCCAGCAUGUUUCUUUACAAAAGAAAAUACAGGUAAUGCUCCUUAAAAUGGAGCACAGAAGGGAUAUUGUGUGGAAUUUGAAGCUGCAGUGGUGAUGGAUCCUUCUGCACCUGGAGGAUUAACAACAAGUUAAAUCAACGCUUAGCUAAGCAUACCAAGCUUUGCUUGGGCAGAAAUGGCUUGACCUCGCCUUUGUUUCCAGCCAACAGCAUCACAGCUGUAAAUGAUGCACUUGCCUUGUUAAUCUUCCUUUAAUGUUAAUUAGCUAGUUGCUCUCAGCUUCAUUGUCUUAAACAGAUGAGUUUUAAUUUAAGUCAGAACUGAAGCUGUGGAACAUCUGAAGGAUUAUUUUUUUGAGAAAAUUGCUGGGGUCCUGGGAUUGACAUGGGUGGAAUUUUUCAAUUUGUGUUGGCUUCCUUUUAAGAAAUUACAUUAUUUACACACCAAAAUAUUUAUAGUAAAGAAGUAAGAGCUAAGAGAAGUAAAAGCUGACCAUAUACUGCAAGACAUUGAAUUAGACAAUCAAAACAUCAGAUGUGCGGCCUGUUAGAAGCUCCAUUGCUAGCUGUUAUCCCAAGACUUUCAGUUGGUGGGCAGCCGUAGAAGGUCUCUGAAGUGGCUUAACUUUGGAACUCUUGCACAAUAUAAAGAGAGUGCCUUUAGAGAAUCCGAUCAGAGAAACUCUGAUUUUUAAAAAUUGUUCCCAUGAGAGAGCAAUCAACAGCAGGGGUGUAAGUUAAUAUCUAAUGUUUAUUCUACACUGAUCACUCAUAAUUAAUCUCUGGAGGAAAAAAAGAUGCUUAAUAAAGGUUAUUUUCUAUAUUUUAUAUUAAUGGAUACAAUGGAAAAAGUAUUAAUAUGUUGCUAUGUGAAGAAAUACAGGACCCCGAGUGGCAGGCUCUACUACUUUACCAAAGGUUAUAGACACGAAAACAAAAUAAUGUUUUUUUCCAUAAUGACUUUUCUCAGCAUCUCACAGUUCCCCUUAGAAGAAACAUUAUUUACAACUGCCACCUUUUUUUGGCAGUGUGUAUUUUUAAAUGGCAUACCUUUCUAUUUUCUCCUUAACCUACUUUCAUUUGACAUUCAAAUUACAGUUGCUAUAGCUGUAGCUUGUAUUCUGAAUGUCAAACUGGAAAGAAGUAAGACGGGUUAUUCAAACAAAAAAAGAAAAGAAAAUCGAGUCUUACGUGAAGUAGGAAGAAUGUUCUAAAAAUUCCUUUUGACAGAAUACGAUAAACAAGUUUGCACACCUUUACCUACCUACACUGCUGUUCUUACAGUACGACAAUGGAACAUCUGUGCUGUCAAUGGUUCCAGUUAUAAGGACAUACCCAAACAUGUGGGGAAUGUUAGGCAGGCAUGCCAAGCGGCAUUAUCAAAAUGUUUUCAAUGUACGACAUGUUGAUAAACCAAUAAGGCCACAACAGAAAGUUUGCUUUGAUGCUCAGUGUGCUCAUAUUACAUAAGAAUUUAAAGAACUGGGCUCUAAGAUAAUUCAUGUUGAUUAUUCCCUAGAUCCUGUAGCAGAGACUAUUCUUUCUAGUGAAAGAACCAAAAAUAACAACUGGUUUUAAUUACGUAAGCUCUUGUUUUUCAAAUGUCGCAAGCUAUAACCUUAGUUAUUGUUCUUUAAUGUCUUAUUCAGUGCAACUGGAACUCACUAAUAUCUAAAACUUUUGGUUACAGAAUCCCCACCACAUGGAACCUUUCAUUAAGCAACUCUAGACAUGCAUCUGUUUUGUGAGUCACACUAUGGUAUAUUUGGAAAUGCACCAAUUCCAAGAUUUAGCUUGGGUACACUUUUUGCAAGUUGAGGUUUGACAAAAUCGUAAGUCCAAAUACUUUUGAUUUUAAAGGGGCCAUAUAGUCAGAAAAGACUAAAAAACAAACAUAUCUAGUAUGCUUUCUUUUAUAAAAAAAAUGUUUUAUUACAAAAACAUUUUGCAGUGCAUACCCCUUCUUCCAACUUGUCCCUUCUAUUGGGGGGAGUGGGUCUUUCUAGUACAGGGUAAAUACAGUAUAUUUCUAGCUGGUAUCAUUUCCUUCACAGCAAGGUUAGGUUUAUGUUUAUCUUGAAGACUGCAUUUUUUAAAUGAGACUGAUUUUGUAACGCAAGCAUAUUAAAUAUAUUUUUGUUUUUGAGCCUGAAAAUGGCCUUUUCGUGAAAAUUUAUGCUUCAAAUUUGUUUCCAUUUUCUAUUUAGCUCUAAUGUGAAUAUGCAAAUUCGGUGUUGGAUUUAGUUCAGUAUAUAGCAUUUAUGUUGGACUUGCAGGCAGAUGCACCAGUUGUGUAGGCAUUUGAGUUGGAAUUGAUGCCAGUUACACUGGGUGUGUUGGCAUUUGCUAUAGAUUUGCAGGCAGAUGCACUAGGUGGGUAGCAGGUGCAUAAUAACUAAGGAAGCAGAGGGGGGCCCCAGGAAGUAUAGGGGCCCCAUGAGGCCCUAAUUCAUAUACAAUAAAUAUUGGUAAAACAGGUCAAACAUUUUGAGGGCCUGAAAAAUAGUUUGCUGUGGGGCCCAGUAAUAUCUAGUUACACCAGUGAGUAUAUAAGCAAGCCAAUUGGCAAACUCUUCACACCAUUCACUCUUAAGUUUGCAAGCAAUUUACCAAAGGAUUACUGUCGUUUGAACAGCAAUUAUGAGCAAAGAGGCAUUUCUAUAUAUGGUGGAUUCCCUGAGUGAGUGAAGCUGUCACUCAUCAUGUACAGCAUAAUAGGAAUCUGCUUUCCUCUGUUUAAAUCUCGGUUUUUUUUCUGGAAGUUUUCUUCCCACCAUGACAGUCUUGUGUAUUUACAUCCCUGAUAGUCUUUAUCUCUGUGUUGUAUCCUGAAUCCCUGUAUUCAAAGUGAGACCGUCCAGAUCUCUGUAUUCUGUUACCCUAUUUUAUGUUUAUUCCUCUCUUUCACCUUGAGAGCUCAGCCAUAGGCAGCAGCCCAGCUCUGUAAUAAAACCCAGGACACCACUUAAGCAUAGAUUGCUUUGCUCUUUUUUCUAACAUAACAAUGCAGUGAGGUUGCUGUGCUAGAUAAACACAGCUGACCCUACUAUUAUUGUGCUGGGACUGUGACAUAAAUAUUGUCAGAAUAUCUCUGCAGCAGGCUGCUUGCCACUCACAGAACAAACUAGCUAAACUCAAAAGGCUCAUAGACCUAACGGCAAGUGACAAAGCUUUCACAGUCAACAGCAGUCCCUAAAGAAUCAUCAUAAGGCCUGACAUCUUUUUAUAUGCAAUGAACGCUUUUGCUGUGCUUCUUUUAGCUUUUUCAGAUUCUUUCUCAUCAGAGAAAUGGGUAAAGGUUUUGAACUAAUACUGUAAAUAUUUGAAAAUAUACCCUAUUUAUAAAGAUUUACAUUCACUUUAUUUUAUCUAUUAAUGUUCAGUAAUACAUGUUACCUCCCAGGGUGCUGCAUUUAUUUGCAUAUUUAGUAUUUGUAUCUGCAUUUACAUGAUGCUCAUACAAAAAUGGCAAAAAUUGUGCUCAAAAUAUUUGGGUUAUGUUUUUUAAUUAGUACAGGUAUGGCAUCAGUUAUCCAGAAAGCUCAGAAUUACGGAAAGGCCAUCUCCUAUAGAUUCCAUUU
Xenopus laevis (African clawed frog) is the source of this 4545-nucleotide long non-coding RNA. RefSeq lists it as uncharacterized. Lineage: Eukaryota; Metazoa; Chordata; Amphibia; Anura; Pipidae. The record is from RefSeq and is a predicted model, not a curated record. The transcript has 4 exons.